AUGUUACCUGGUGAUAUGGUGCUGCUAGUGAUAGACAACAUACUCAGAAUGUUACCUGGUGAUAUGGUGCUGCUAGUGAUAGACAACAUACUCAGAAUGUUACCUGGUGAUAUGGUGCUGCUAGACAACAUACUCAGAAUGUUACCUGGUGAUAUGGUGCUGCUAGACAACAUACUCAGAAUGUUACCUGGUGAUAUGGUGCUGUUAGACAACAUACUCAGAAUGUCACCUGGUGAUAUGGUGCUGCUAGACAACAUACUCAGAAUGUUACCUGGUGAUAUGGUGCUGUUAGACAACAUACUCAGAAUGUCACCUGGUGAUAUGGUGCUGCUAGACAACAUACUCAGAAAGUUACCUGGUGAUAUGGUGCUGUUAGUGAUAGAUAACAUGCUCAGAUUGUUACCUGGUGAUAUGGUGCUGCUAGACAACAUACUCAGAAAGUUACCUGGUGAUAUGGUGCUGUUAGUGAUAGACAACAUACUCAGAUUGUUACCUGGUGAUAUGGUGCUGCUAGUGAUAGACAACAUACUCAGAAUGUUACCUGGUGAUAUGGUGCUGCUAGUGAUAGACAACAUACUCAGAAUGUUACCUGGUGAUAUGGUGCUGCUAGUGAUAGACAACAUACUCAGAAUGUUACCUGGUGAUAUGGUGCUGUUAGACAACAUACUCAGAAUGUCACCUGGUGAUAUGGUGCUGCUAGACAACAUACUCAGAAUGUUACCUGGUGAUAUGGUGCUGUUAGACAACAUACUCAGAAUGUCACCUGGUGAUAUGGUGCUGCUAGACAACAUACUCAGAAAGUUACCUGGUGAUAUGGUGCUGUUAGUGAUAGAUAACAUGCUCAGAUUGUUACCUGGUGAUAUGGUGCUGCUAGACAACAUACUCAGAAAGUUACCUGGUGAUAUGGUGCUGUUAGUGAUAGACAACAUACUCAGAUUGUUACCUGGUGAUAUGGUGCUGCUAGUGAUAGACAACAUACUCAGAAUGUUACCUGGUGAUAUGGUGCUGCUAGUGAUAGACAACAUACUCAGAAUGUUACCUGGUGAUAUGGUGCUGCUAGUGAUAGACAACAUACUCAGAAUGUUACCUGGUGAUAUGGUGCUGCUAGACAACAUACUCAGAAUGUUACCAGGUGAUAUGGUGCUGUUAGACAACAUACUCAGAAUGUUACCUGGUGAUAUGGUGCUGCUAGACAACAUACUCAGAAUGUUACCUGGUGAUAUGGUGCUGUUAGACAACAUACUCAGAUUGUUACCUGGUGAUAUGGUGCUGCUAGUGAUAGACAACAUACUCAGAAUGUUACCUGGUGAUAUGGUGCUGCUAGACAACAUACUCAGAAUGUUACCUGGUGAUAUGGUGCUGUUAGACAACAUACUCAGAUUGUUACCUGUUGAUAUGGUGCUGCUAGUGAUAGACAACAUACUCAGAAUGUUACCUGGUGAUAUGGUGCUGCUAGUGAUAGACAACAUACUCAGAAUGUUACCUGGUGAUAUGGUGCUGCUAGACAACAUACUCUGA
This 1518-nucleotide long non-coding RNA is filed under the name Oncorhynchus mykiss (rainbow trout). RNAcentral describes it as "lncRNA (ENSOMYG00000068116.1)". The record is from RNAcentral. Lineage: Eukaryota; Metazoa; Chordata; Actinopteri; Salmoniformes; Salmonidae.